Molecule: ribosomal RNA, 370 nt
Filed under: Burkholderia contaminans
Lineage: Bacteria; Pseudomonadati; Pseudomonadota; Betaproteobacteria; Burkholderiales; Burkholderiaceae
Description: bacterial SSU rRNA
Rfam family: Bacterial small subunit ribosomal RNA
Source: RNAcentral
CAGUCGAACGGCAGCACGGGUGCUUGCACCUGGUGGCGAGUGGCGAACGGGUGAGUAAUACAUCGGAACAUGUCCUGUAGUGGGGGAUAGCCCGGCGAAAGCCGGAUUAAUACCGCAUACGAUCUACGGAUGAAAGCGGGGGACCUUCGGGCCUCGCGCUAUAGGGUUGGCCGAUGGCUGAUUAGCUAGUUGGUGGGGUAAAGGCCUACCAAGGCGACGAUCAGUAGCUGGUCUGAGAGGACGACCAGCCACACUGGGACUGAGACACGGCCCAGACUCCUACGGGAGGCAGCAGUGGGGAAUUUUGGACAAUGGGCGAAAGCCUGAUCCAGCAAUGCCGCGUGUGUGAAGAAGGCCUUCGGGUUGUAAA